UUGCUAUCAAUUAAAUUAAUGCUCCAUAUAAAGGUGAUAAAUACGUAUUUCGAGUGAAGCAAAAGAGAUUAUACACAUGUUGGGAAGUAAUCUUAUAUUAGAUAAAAUUGUUGGAUUACAAUAGUGGAUAUUACACGAGGAAUAUAAUCCUAAUGGGAUGCAUAAUCUAACUAUACAACUUAACUAAAAUUUAACCGAGGAACAACAUCCAACAGGAACGACAUCCCUACAACAUAAG
RNAcentral lists this long non-coding RNA (238 nucleotides) under Hordeum vulgare. Its description in RNAcentral is "long non-coding RNA (HVUL_LNC012501)". The record is from RNAcentral. Lineage: Eukaryota; Viridiplantae; Streptophyta; Magnoliopsida; Poales; Poaceae.